This 420-nucleotide ribosomal RNA is filed under the name Fusobacteriota bacterium. RNAcentral's name for it is "Fusobacteria bacterium partial 16S ribosomal RNA". It matches the Rfam family "Bacterial small subunit ribosomal RNA", at positions 355 to 776 of the family's 1533-position model. Lineage: Bacteria; Fusobacteriati; Fusobacteriota. The record is from RNAcentral.
UGGGGAAUUUUGCACAAUGGGGGGAACCUUGAUGCAGCGACGCCGCGUGAGGGAUGGAGGCCUUCGGGUUGUGAACCUCUUUCGCUCGUGUGCAAGCCGCUAUUUGGGUAGUGGUGAGUGUAGCGGGUAAAGAAGCCCCGGCUAACUACGUGCCAGCAGCCGCGGUAAUACGUAGGGGGCUAGCGUUGUCCGGAAUCACUGGGCGUAAAGGGUUCGCAGGCGGAAAUGCAAGUCAGGUGUAAAAGGCAGUAGCUUAACUACUGUAAGCAUUUGAAACUGCAUAUCUUGAGAAGAGUAGAGGUAAGUGGAAUUUUUAGUGUAGCGGUGAAAUGCGUAGAUAUUAAAAAGAAUACCGGUGGCGAAGGCGACUUACUGGGCUCAUUCUGACGCUGAGGAACGAAAGCGUGGGUAGCAAACAGG